RNAcentral lists this ribosomal RNA (433 nucleotides) under uncultured Peptostreptococcaceae bacterium. Its description in RNAcentral is "partial 16S ribosomal RNA". It matches the Rfam family "Bacterial small subunit ribosomal RNA", at positions 341 to 792 of the family's 1533-position model. The record is from RNAcentral. Lineage: Bacteria; Bacillati; Bacillota; Clostridia; Peptostreptococcales; Peptostreptococcaceae.
ACGGAAGGCAGCAGUGGGGAAUAUUGCACAAUGGGCGAAAGCCUGAUGCAGCAACGUCGCGUGAGCGAUGAAGGCCUUCGGGUCGUAAAGCUCUGUCCUCAAGGAAGAUAAUGACGGUACUUGUGGAGGAAGCCCCGGCUAACUACGUGCCAGCAGCCGCGGUAAUACGUAGGGGGCUAGCGUUAUCCGGAUUUACUGGGCGUAAAGGGUGCGUAGGUGGUUUCUUAAGUCAGGAGUGAAAGGCUACGGCUUAACCGUAGUAAGCUCUUGAAACUGGGAAACUUGAGUGCAGGAGAGGAAAGUGGAAUUCCUCGUGUAGCGGUGAAAUGCGUAGAUAUUAGGAGGAACACCAGUAGCGAAGGCGGCUUUCUGGACUGUAACUGACACUGAGGCACGAAAGCGUGGGGAGCAAACAGGAUUAGAUACCCUGGUA